This 486-nucleotide long non-coding RNA is filed under the name Helianthus annuus (common sunflower). RNAcentral describes it as "hypothetical non coding rna". The record is from RNAcentral. Lineage: Eukaryota; Viridiplantae; Streptophyta; Magnoliopsida; Asterales; Asteraceae.
UUUUAUGCACACUCAUUCCAUAAUCUAUGUGACACACUCUAUUCAUGUUAGACAUGUUAUGCUACUGUAAACACCUAAUGACUAUGUGUUCAUUAACUUCGUACAAGCCUCCCCUAACAAUGGUAGCGCUAUAGGUUGAGAAACGCCCCUCCUGUUCUAUGAGCAGGUAUUGUUAGGUUAAACUAUGUCAAACAUACUCAAACUCGUUUGGGUACACUUUAAUUGCGUUAAACUUUGGUUUGGGCACAUAGAGUAACAUCGUUUCGAGUAUAUACUGUUAACAUGAUAUUGUAUUUCACAUUUGGAUAUGAGCAACAUUUUAAACACGUACUAUGCUAUGUUGAAAGUACAAGAUUCAAGAAUCAAGCUAGGAUGAACUCUAGAAACCCACAUAACACUUGAAUUAUUGUUGAACAAUAUGUUGUCUUGUUUGGAACUAUGUAUUUCACUUUAGAGUUUAUGAAAUGAAUUAAAUAAAUUAUUGUC